ACCGAAUAGGGGAGCCGUAGAGAAAUCGAGUCUUAAUAGGGCGUAUAGUUGCUGGGUAUAGACCCGAAACCGGGUGAUCUAUCCAUGAGCAGGUUGAAGGUUGGGUAACACUAACUGGAGGACCGAACCCACUGUCGUUGAAAAGCCAGGGGAUGACUUGUGGAUAGGGGUGAAAGGCUAAUCAAACUCGGUGAUAGCUGGUUCUCCCCGAAAGCUAUUUAGGUAGCGCCUCGGACGAAUACCAUUGGGGGUAGAGCACUGUUUCGGCUAGGGGGUCAUCCCGACUUACCAAACCGAUGCAAACUCCGAAUACCAAUGAGUACUAUCCGGGAGACAGACUGCGGGUGCUAACGUCCGUAGUCAAGAGGAAAACAAUCCAGACCGCCAGCUAAGGUCCCUAAAUCAUAGUUAAGUGGGAAACGAUGUGGGAAGGCAUAGACAGCUAGGAGGUUGGCUUAGAAGCAGCCACCCUUUAAAGAAAGCGUAAUAGCUCACUAGUCGAGUCGGCCUGCGCGGAAGAUGUAACGGGGCUAAAACUAUGUACCGAAGCUGCGGAUUUGCAAUUUAUUGCAAGUGGUAGGGGAGCGUUCUGUAAGCCGAUGAAGGUGUGUUGAGAAGCAUGCUGGAGGUAUCAGAAGUGCGAAUGCUGACGUGAGUAACGACAAAACGGGUGAAAAACCCGUUCGCUGAAAGACCAAGGGUUCCAGUCCAACGUUAAUCGGGGCUGGGUGAGUCGACCCCUAAGGCGAGGCCGAGAGGCGUAGUCGAUGGGAAAUUGGUUAAUAUUCCAAUACUUCAGUGUAAUGCGAUGAGAGGACGGAGAAGGUUAAGUCAGCCUGGCGUUGGUUGUCCAGGUGGAAGACUGUAGGCAUGCAUCUUAGGCAAAUCCGGGGUGCUCUAUGCUGAGAGUUGAUAGCAAGCCAGUUUACUGGUGAAGUGGCUGAUACCAUACUUCCAGGAAAAGUCUCUAAGCUUCAGUUACACUGGAAUCGUACCCGAAACCGACACAGGUGGUCAGGUCGAGUAGACCAAAGCGCUUGAGAGAACUCUGCUGAAGGAACUAGGCAAAAUGGUACCGUAACUUCGGGAGAAGGUACGCUGCCGGCGGUGAUAGGACUUGCUCCUUGAGCUGUUGGCAGCCUCAGAAACCAGGCCGCUGCAACUGUUUAUUAAAAACAUAGCACUCUGCAAACACGAAAGUGGACGUAUAGGGUGUGAUGCCUGCCCGGUGCUGGAAGGUUAAUUGAUGGGGUUAGCGUAAGCGAAGCUCUUGAUCGAAGCCCCAGUAAACGGCGGCCGUAACUAUAACGGUCCUAAGGUAGCGAAAUUCCUUGUCGGGUAAGUUCCGACCUGCACGAAUGGCAUAAUGAUGGCGGCGCUGUCUCCAGCAGAGGCUCAGUGAAAUCGAAUUCGCCGUGAAGAUGCGGUG
This 1429-nucleotide ribosomal RNA is filed under the name Escherichia coli. RNAcentral's name for it is "partial 23S ribosomal RNA". It matches the Rfam family "Bacterial large subunit ribosomal RNA", at positions 649 to 2066 of the family's 2925-position model. The record is from RNAcentral. Lineage: Bacteria; Pseudomonadati; Pseudomonadota; Gammaproteobacteria; Enterobacterales; Enterobacteriaceae.